CUCCUGCAGGGAACUUGGCACCGCAGCCCUGUCCCAUCAGAAAAAAACCCAAUGUGGGCACCGCUGUGGGCUCGCUGGAGUUGGACACUGACUUACAUUACAUGAGAUACACAUUUAAUUGGAGCAUAGUUUGCGGUCUCAACAUUUGGACAACUCUGGUUUGUCAGGCGCCCGAAGACUGGCAUCAGGAGUGGAUAUUUUCCCAGUGACUACAGGGACUCAUGCUCUGAAAUAAAUGACUUACUUGAUUCCAAGUGACAGAUCCACUUCUUUGCUUUGGCAGGCGCAGGAGUCACUUUGUUCGGCGGCGGCGAUGGUCGACUCGUUAAAGCGGCCAGUGGGAACAGUAAAUUCCGUUUUAACUCGGGUUCUGCGAAACAGAAUAACGCAGCUUUUUCGGUUAUGGACCCCGAUGACAUUGAAGACGUGUUUUUCGAGGAUGUUCAUCUUUUUGAGGUCGUGGUUAGUGUCAGCAGAAACCGUCGGUUUACUGGGUCACACAUUGACAUCCUCUGGCAGAGCUCACUAAACCAAUGUAGCUGGAACUCACUCAAAGCGGUAAAGCAGUAGUCCAGCGCCAGAAGCCAUCGAAACAGCGUUUGGUGCGCAUGAGCCACAUGGACUUUUCCAAAAGUCUCAAUCCAAAUAUUCUCUGCAUGCCACGCUGCUUUGAGUGUUGACUUCCCCAUUUUCCUCGGACACACGCUAUUUUCCUGGCUUGAUCUCCUUUACUUAUUCCUCCGUUGUGCUAUCCAGGGACUGAUGGAACUGCACAUAGCUGCAGAAAAUAAAUCCAUCAAUGCAUUUGUAGGGACAAAAAAUGUGAUUCCAAAGUUUUAUUUAGCCAAAGUUUUCUCCGGGAUUUAAAGUGUGACACAUCAAGUGAAGUAAUGAAUCCCAACAAGUAGUUACUCGGUUAUCUUUACAUCAACCUCCAUCUAAUGUCAGUGUAUUACCCGGACCUUUAGUAGGGACUUAAUCAUUUAAACUACCUCUUAAUACCACCACUAUCAAGUCAUAAU
Long non-coding RNA from Hippocampus zosterae (dwarf seahorse), 1022 nucleotides. RefSeq lists it as uncharacterized. NCBI's taxonomy places the organism in Eukaryota, Metazoa, Chordata, Actinopteri, Syngnathiformes, Syngnathidae. The record is from RefSeq and is a predicted model, not a curated record. The transcript is spliced from 3 exons.